AGAUUGAACGCUGGCGGCAGGCCUAACACAUGCAAGUCGAGCGGUAGAGAGGUGCUUGCAUCUCUUGAGAGCGGCGGACGGGUGAGUAAUGCCUAGGAAUCUGCCUAGUGGUGGGGGAUAACGUUCGGAAACGGACGCUAAUACCGCAUACGUCCUACGGGAGAAAGCGGGGGACCUUCGGGCCUCGCGCCAUUAGAUGAGCCUAGGUCGGAUUAGCUAGUUGGUGAGGUAAUGGCUCACCAAGGCGACGAUCCGUAACUGGUCUGAGAGGAUGAUCAGUCACACUGGAACUGAGACACGGUCCAGACUCCUAGGGAGCAGCAGUGGGGAAUAGUU
Molecule: ribosomal RNA, 336 nt
Filed under: uncultured soil bacterium
Lineage: Bacteria
Description: bacterial SSU rRNA
Rfam family: Bacterial small subunit ribosomal RNA
Source: RNAcentral